This 465-nucleotide ribosomal RNA is filed under the name uncultured bacterium. RNAcentral's name for it is "partial 16S ribosomal RNA". It matches the Rfam family "Bacterial small subunit ribosomal RNA", at positions 338 to 795 of the family's 1533-position model. The record is from RNAcentral.
CCUACGGGUGGCAGCAGUGGGGAAUAUUGCGCAAUGGGCGAAAGCCUGACGCAGCGACGCCGCGUGAGGUAUUCAUGUCUUCUGAUCGUACACCUCUGUCAGCAGGGAAGAACGGUCACUGUGCUAAUCAGCAGUGAAUUGACGGUACCUGCAAAGGAAGCACCGGCUAACUCCGUGCCAGCAGCCGCGGUAAUACGGAGGGUGCGAGCGUUAAUCGGAAUUACUGGGCGUAAAGCGCUCGUAGGCGGUAUGUCAAGUCAAGGGUGAAAUCCCCGCGCUCAACGUGGGAACUGCCUUUGAAACGGGCAAACUGGAGUGUGUGAGAGGAUAGUGGAAUUCCAGGUGUAGGAGUGAAAUCCGUAGAUAUCUGGAGGAACAUCAGUGGCGAAGGCGACUAUCUGGCACAUAACUGACGCUGAGGAGCGAAAGCGUGGGUAGCAAACAGGAUUAGAUACCCUAGUAGUC